This 104-nucleotide small nuclear RNA is filed under the name Callithrix jacchus (white-tufted-ear marmoset). Lineage: Eukaryota; Metazoa; Chordata; Mammalia; Primates; Cebidae. The record is from RNAcentral.
GUGCUUGCCUCGGCAGCACAUAUGCUGCAGUCGAAAUGAUACAGAGAUUAGCACGGCUCCUGUGGGAGGAUGACGCGCCAAUCCAUGAAGCAUUGCAUAUCUUU